ACCUGGUUGAUCCUGCCAGUAGUCAUAUGCUUGUCUCAAAGAUUAAGCCAUGCAUGUCUAAGUAUAAUCAUUUUAUCGAAAAACUGCGGACGGCUCAUUAAAUCAGUUAUAAUCUAUUCGAUGGCUAAAAUUACAUGGAUAACUGUAGUAAUUCUAGAGCUAAUACAUGAACGAAGCCAUGCUUUACUGUGUGGUGUUUUUACAAGUUAACAUAAACCUAUUUUAACUACUGACUUAUUGUCGACGGGUAACGGGGAAUUAGGGUUCGAUUCCGGAGAGGGAGCCUGAGAAACGGCUACCACUUCUAAGGAAGGCAGCAGGCGCGCAAAUUACCCAAUCCCAAUACGGGGAGGUAGUGACAAAAAAUAGCAAUGCUUAGACCAUUCAAAAUGGUCUGGUAAUUGAAAUGAGUACAAUUUAAAAAACUUAACGAGGAACAAUUGGAGGGCAAGUCUGGUGCCAGCAGCCGCGGUAAUUCCAGCUCCAAUAGCGUAUACUAAAAUUGUUGCAGUUAAAAAGCUCGUAGUCGAAAGCCGCGCGUUGCUUUCACUGGGGCCCCCUAGAGGGGCCAAAACUGGUGGAGUGAAGCGCUAUCGUCUUAUAUACCAGACGGCCUUAAUUGUGUCGUUUGAACGUGUAUACAGACUAAAUUACUGUGAAAAAAUUAGAGUGUUCAAGGCAGGCGUUACAGCUUGUAUAGAUUAGCAUAGGAUAAUGAUAAGAUUGAGAAUUUACGUUCUGUAGGUUUAAAAUGCUUAAUAAUGGUUAAUAGGGUUUAUCAGGGGCGCUCAUAUUUAAUUGUCAGAGGUGAAAUUCUUGGAUUUAUGAAAGAUGAACUAAUGCGAAAGCAUCCGCCAUGGGUAUUCCCAUUGAUCAAGAACGAAAGUUAAGGGAUCGAAGACGAUCAGAUACCGUCGUAGUCUUAACUAUAAACGAUACCGACCAACACUCGAAAGACGUUAUAUGGAUGACUCCUCCGGAAGUUUGUGAGAAAUCAUAAGUCUUCGGGUUCUGGGGGGAGUAUGGUCGCAAGGCUGAAACUUAAAGGAAUUGACGGAAGGGCACACCAGAAGUGGAGCCUGCGGCUUAAUUUGACCCAACACGG
This 1105-nucleotide ribosomal RNA is filed under the name uncultured soil eukaryote. RNAcentral describes it as "SSU rRNA". It matches the Rfam family "Eukaryotic small subunit ribosomal RNA", at positions 1 to 1208 of the family's 1831-position model. The record is from RNAcentral.